GACGAACGCUGGCGGCGUGCUUAACACAUGCAAGUCGAACGGGUCUGCCCUGUUUUUUGCGGGGUGGGUCAGUGGCGGACGGGUGAGUAACACGUGAGUAACCUGCCCCCCACUUCUGGAUAACCGCUUGAAAGGGUGGCUAAUACGGGGUGUUCUGGCUGUGCCGCAUGGUGUGGCUGGGAAAGAUUCACUUUUGUGGUGUUUUGGUGGGGGAUGGGCUCGCGGCCUAUCAGCUUGUUGGUGGGGUGAUGGCCUGCCAAGGCUUUGACGGGUAGCCGGCCUGAGAGGGUGGGCGGUCACACUGGGACUGAGGUACGGCCCAGACUCCUGCGGGAGGCAGCAGUGGGGGGUAUUGCACAAUGGGCGGAAGCCUGAUGCAGCGACGUCGCGUGAGGGAUGGAGGCCUUCGGGUUGUGAACCUCUUUCGCCGGUGAAGAAGGUCCUGCUCUUUGGGGUGGGGUUGACGGUAGCCGGGUUAUGAAGCGCCGGCUAACUACGUG
Molecule: ribosomal RNA, 500 nt
Filed under: uncultured bacterium
Lineage: Bacteria
Description: partial 16S ribosomal RNA
Rfam family: Bacterial small subunit ribosomal RNA
Source: RNAcentral